GACAGAGGAUGCAAGCGUUAUCCGGAAUGAUUGGGCGUAAAGCGUCUGUAGGUGGCUUUUAAGUCCGCCGUCAAAUCCCAGGGCUCAACCCUGGACAGGCGGUGGAAACUACCAAGCUGGAGUACGGUAGGGCAGAGGGAAUUUCCGGUGGAGCGGUGAAAUGCGUAGAGAUCGGAGAGAACACCAACGGCGAAAGCACUCUGCUGGCCGACACUGACACUGAGAGACGAAAGCUAGGGGAGCGAAUGGG
Molecule: ribosomal RNA, 250 nt
Filed under: uncultured bacterium
Lineage: Bacteria
Description: partial 16S ribosomal RNA
Rfam family: Bacterial small subunit ribosomal RNA
Source: RNAcentral